This 397-nucleotide RNase P RNA is filed under the name Thalassomonas sp. M1454. Its description in RNAcentral is "Bacterial RNase P class A". It matches the Rfam family "Bacterial RNase P class A". Rfam says of the family: Ribonuclease P (RNase P) is a ubiquitous endoribonuclease, found in archaea, bacteria and eukarya as well as chloroplasts and mitochondria. Its best characterised activity is the generation of mature 5'-ends of tRNAs by cleaving the 5'-leader elements of precursor-tRNAs. The record is from Rfam by way of RNAcentral. Lineage: Bacteria; Pseudomonadati; Pseudomonadota; Gammaproteobacteria; Alteromonadales; Colwelliaceae.
CGAGUUAGCCAGACAAUCGCUGCUUAAUCGUUGUAUCAAUUGCGUAAGCUUUUGGUAGACAGAUUAAGGGGAGGAAAGUCCGGGCUCCAUUGAGCAGGGUGCCAGGUAACACCUGGGCGGCGUGAGCCGACGACAAGUGCAGCAGAGAGAAGACCGCCGAUGGCUAGCAAUAGCACAGGUAAGGCUGAAAGGGUGCGGUAAGAGCGCACCGGGCGGCUGGUAACAGUCCGCAGCAGGGUAAACUCCACCCGGAGCAAGACCAAAUAGGGUUCCUUACGGCGUGGCUCGCGUUGGAACCGGGUAGGUUGCUUGAGCCUAGAAGCGAUUCUAGGCCUAGACGAAUGAUUGUCGCAUCGAAAGAUGUAACAGAACCCGGCUUAUACGGCUAACUCACUAA